CUUUAACAUUCUAGACCAACAACGAGCCACGACCACCAGAGAAAAUAGAAAUGGAGUCAGAGACCUGUAUACACACAUGCACCACAGUGAUUGUCCCUUGUUGUUCGUACCAGGAAGACAACAUGAGACGCCUAGAGGGCAAACUGGAUACCUUGUGUGACUUUGUUCAAAGCUGCAACCAGGUGCCAUUGAUGUGGUGUCAGC
RNAcentral lists this long non-coding RNA (204 nucleotides) under Ursus americanus (American black bear). Its description in RNAcentral is "lncRNA (ENSUAMG00000017767.1)". Lineage: Eukaryota; Metazoa; Chordata; Mammalia; Carnivora; Ursidae. The record is from RNAcentral.